This 236-nucleotide unclassified non-coding RNA is filed under the name Hevea brasiliensis (rubber tree). Lineage: Eukaryota; Viridiplantae; Streptophyta; Magnoliopsida; Malpighiales; Euphorbiaceae. The record is from RNAcentral.
AUACUAUGAAGAGGAGGAGGGUUGAAAUAGCUUGUCUUCAAGAAUAAGUGGAUCAGGCAAAAGGCGAAAGAGAUUGGCAACAUAGGUUAUAAUUGUGGUACUUUAUAGUUGAGAAGAGACGUAAGAAAAGGUGGUGGAAGUGAAGAGAAUCGGUGAUAUGAUUAUCUCAUUGAAAUUAAUACUGAGAAAUGAGACUAUUAUCAUAUGCACUUUAAGUAGGUCUAGGUAAGGAUGCG